This 433-nucleotide ribosomal RNA is filed under the name uncultured bacterium. Its description in RNAcentral is "partial 16S ribosomal RNA". It matches the Rfam family "Bacterial small subunit ribosomal RNA", at positions 29 to 507 of the family's 1533-position model. The record is from RNAcentral.
AACGAACGCUGGCGGCAUGCCUAACACAUGCAAGUCGAACGAGACCUUCGGGUCUAGUGGCGCACGGGUGCGUAACGCGUGGGAACCUGCCCUUAGGUUCGGAAUAACUCCCCGAAAGGGGUGCUGAUACCGGAUAAUGUCUUCGGACCAAAGAUUUAUCGCCUUUGGAUGGGCCCGCGUUGGAUUAGCUAGUUGGUAGGGUAAAAGCCUACCAAGGCGAUGAUCCAUAGCUGGUCUGAGAGGAUGAUCAGCCACACUGGGACUGAGACACGGCCCAGACUCCUACGGGAGGCAGCAGUGGGGAAUAUUGGACAAUGGGCGAAAGCCUGAUCCAGCAAUGCCGCGUGAGUGAUGAAGGCCUUAGGGUUGUAAAGCUCUUUUACCCGGGAUGAUAAUGACAGUACCGGGAGAAUAAGCUCCGGCUAACUCCGUG